CUAUAGAUUUUUUCAUGGCGACAUUCAAUUUCCAAUCACUGUUCAAGUGAAUGAAUGUGGGCCUGUUUUAUUUCGCGUGUGCGGUUGAUAGGUUGGCAUUGAAAAAAACAUGUCAUACCACUAUUCAUGAAAAAAUUUAUUACUAAAACAAUUAAUGGAGAACAUUAGAAAAUAUGGAAAAAAAAAAAAAAAAAAAAAAGAAGAAGUAGCAUACCCAAAAGUUCAAGGAGAUUUGAUUUCAAACCUUGCAAGAAACCUACCACUGCAAUGGAAAUUCAAAAUCUAAAUAUAAGAUGGUGAAAACUGUAUGUAUCUCUCUGUUAAUUAGAUGAUGACAAAAUGUGUAGAAGGGAAGAAGUAUUAGCUCACUUGAAAAUUUCCAUAAAAUGGGUGCAAGGAAUAUUGAGAUACAUACAUGGUAUAAUGAAUUCGAUUAAUC
This 439-nucleotide long non-coding RNA is filed under the name Prunus persica (peach). RNAcentral's name for it is "long non-coding RNA (PPER_LNC002381)". Lineage: Eukaryota; Viridiplantae; Streptophyta; Magnoliopsida; Rosales; Rosaceae. The record is from RNAcentral.